CACCGCGGUGAUACGGAGGGCUCAAGUUGAUCGCCGUCGGCGUAAGGUGUGGUUAGAGUAAAAACUAGAGUAAAACUAAAAGAAAACGGAGCAGUGUAACGCCAACCACCGUAUGUCGGAGAACCAGAAACGAAAGUAGUUUUAUACAUCUUGAUUCCACGAAGGCUAAGAAA
RNAcentral lists this ribosomal RNA (173 nucleotides) under Aulostomus chinensis (Chinese trumpetfish). RNAcentral's name for it is "partial 12S ribosomal RNA". The record is from RNAcentral. Lineage: Eukaryota; Metazoa; Chordata; Actinopteri; Syngnathiformes; Aulostomidae.